Long non-coding RNA from Humulus lupulus (European hop), 880 nucleotides. RefSeq lists it as uncharacterized. The transcript is spliced from 2 exons. The record is from RefSeq and is a predicted model, not a curated record. NCBI's taxonomy places the organism in Eukaryota, Viridiplantae, Streptophyta, Magnoliopsida, Rosales, Cannabaceae.
UCUUUCAGUGCCCCAUUUUGAUAAACAUCUCAUUAACCUUUCCUUCUCUCCUUGUUCCCCAAGCAACCAUUUUUUAGUUUUAUAUCCUCUCUUUCUUUGUGACUCUAAAAACUAGUCACUCCUACGUGCACCUCUGAAACAAAAUUCACUUUAUUCUUUUCUUGACAUGCUCUUUUUCUCCUUCAAUCUUUUCCUAACGGUUAAAGUAAACUAACUUUCACAGGAAAAAGGCAGACAAGGAGGCUUUUUGUUCAUUCCAGUGGAACAUAUGGUUUUGGAGUUCUUUUAUGUUUCCUAUAUAAAUUUCUUCAAGCCAAACUAAUAGCUAUAUCUCUUUUUAAGAAUUUGCCUCUGCCUGGUUCCCCAUACAGGAGAUAAGGUUCAGAGCAGUCUCAAAUGGAUAAGGUGAACUCGGAGCUGUAUUUGCAGAAUUGUUACAUAAUCCAGCAAAAUGAACUGUUGAGGAAGAAAGCUCAAAGACUCAAUAAGGAGAACCAAGCUUUACUGACCGAGCUGAAACACAAGCUGUCCAGCGCAACCUCCAGUCAAAAUCCUAACAGUGAAAGUGACGAUAGCUCCACUUCCUCCACGGGUUUGAUCAAAUUCAGCAAAUCUUGAUCAAAGUCCAUUUUACAUUGUUGAAAACCAUAUUCCUUGGGUGAGAACAAUCUCCAAACAAAGAAUCGAUUGUAUCUUUGCUUCAACUAGAAUUCUUGUUACCUAAUCAGCCAUAUAUGUCGAGUUCCCAAAAGAGAGAAGAAAAAGAAAAGUGAGAUUGUGGAGGUAAAAAAUAAUGUGCUGAACCAUCAAAGUAUUUGAUUAAAAAUUAUGAAUAAAAGCUCUCUCCAUCAUGCCCAUACUUCAGGGGCUCUUAGCAAAA